UUUUUAAAACCUAAUAUCAUAAAAACAAGUUUAAAUGAAGUUCAUUGUUUUGUAACGACUUGAAACGGAAAUAUUUCACAGCCUUUUUCGAGUACGACUUUCGAUUAUUAUCACUGUUUCAUUUCCGUUGUUCAAUCCUCAGAAUGCAGACUUAAGUCCUGCCUUGGCUUUGUUUGAAUUUGUUUGUUAGCUUUUUGGUCAUGAAUGUUUGUCUCUAAUAUUUAAUUAACUGUGCAUUUGUAUUCAGAUAUCGCAGAUCAAAUUUAUUCGUUCAUUGUGUAAUCAUGCGUUUUUUGAUUGAGUUAAGUCUGCCAAUUGAUAUUUUAUCGUGUGUUUUUCUAUGUUGUGAUGUUAUGCUAUUGUUUCAGAAAAAGGGAGAAGGUUUGGAUCCAUUAAAACGUUUAAUCCCGCUGCAAAUGUUUGCACCUGUCCUAAGUCAGGAAUCUGAUGUACAGUAGUUGUCGUUUGUUUAUGUAAUAUAUACGUGUUUCUCGUUUCUCGUUUUGUUUAUAUAGAUUAGACCGUUGGUUUUCCCGUUUGAAUGGUUUAACACUAGUAAUUUUGGGGCCCUUUAUAGCUUGUUGUUCGGUGUGAGCCAAGGCUCCGUGUUGAAGGCCGUACUUUAACUUAUAAUGGUUUACUUUUUAAAUUGUUAUUUGGAUGGAGAGUUGUCUCAUUGGCACUCACACCACAUCUUCCUACAUCUAUUAAGAAUAGUUAUCUGUCUGAUUUAUUCCUCCCAGCUACUUUAUAUUUGCUAGAUGAAAUGAAUUUUAAUAGCAUAAAAUUAAGUACUUGGAUGAGAAAUCAGAAAUUACAUCUGACAG
RNAcentral lists this long non-coding RNA (827 nucleotides) under Mytilus galloprovincialis (Mediterranean mussel). Lineage: Eukaryota; Metazoa; Mollusca; Bivalvia; Mytilida; Mytilidae. The record is from RNAcentral.